Molecule: non-coding RNA, 21 nt
Filed under: Caenorhabditis elegans
Lineage: Eukaryota; Metazoa; Nematoda; Chromadorea; Rhabditida; Rhabditidae
Source: RNAcentral
UUAAUUAUGCGACUCAUUUUG